AAUUCCCUCCAAAUUAGGCUUUGCUCAACUCUAGGACCACAAGUGCACUUAUGAGCACUAUGUCGUUUUCUUUUAUGAACCACUUAACCACUACUCUAGGAUAGGGUCUAGGGUGCGAAAGUUAAACAACUUUCACAUCGUACGUUAAUUCCAUUUUUUUUUUAAAUUGAGUUUUGAUUAAUCUAAGUCGUACGUUUGGUUUUAAAAAAAAUGAAGGGUCAGGAUUUUCUCAUAGCUAUCGGUUUGUUACCCGUUUUGGUGUGCACAUCUUUGGGUUUGGUGUUGUUCUGUUUUUUAAUGUUGGGACCCUAAUUGCGACGGUAUGUGCAUGGUUGCAUUGACGUCCUGUAGCCAUCUUUGGUCGUUAUUGUUGUUGGUAUCUAUGGCGAUUUAAAGUGCAAAUUAAGGAGUGGUUUUGGAAAGACGAUUUUUUCAGCAUGGUUGGUGAUGAUGUUGUUAUUUGUUGGUUAAGGUGGGGAUGUAAGGCCAUUGAAAAGGGAAAUUGAUGUUUGGUUCAGAAAGGAAGCAUAAUUGGUUCACAUGGUGUUUUGUUUGAGGCAACAAUGGCAUUUGAUUUGUCUAAUAAAGGAGAUGUUAUGAGGUAUGGUUUUGUUUGCAUGUUGCAUGUUGUCUUCUUUUCGUGGUUGUUGAAUUAAUUUAUUUUGUAGUUCCCCGUGGUUGAUGAUUUGUUUCCAUAUUGUUAAUGCAAAUGAAUUUAGUUCAAAUGAAAAAUGAUUCGUUGUUUGUUUUUGAUUUGGUGAACCUAAAACAAUGGUUUGUUAAUUAAUUUUAUGGUUUAAUUUAUGAGGGCUUGAAUCAUUAUUGUUGGUUGUCUCGUGGAAGCGUUGUGAACGCAUAGGAAGUGUUGGAAAUUUUAUUGGUUGUAUCUGAAAGAUUAUUUCAGCGUCAAGAAUAGAGAAGAACAUUGCAAAGCAGAAGGAUAAACAAAGAAAUAGUGCAAUAGACAGAAGAGGUGUCAAGUGUCGUAAAUCGUUUAUGUUUGCGAUAGGGUUGCAGUGGCUUUUGCGAUUGAAAUACAUAGGUUCACUUGUCAAUUGAAGAAACAUGCAUUUGUUCUGGUCACGACAAAAAUUCCGUGGGAGACAUGAAUAUCAUCGGAAAAAUAAGGCCCCUAGAAGAGAGAAUAAAGAUGCUUCAUAUUGUACAACCUUCAUCAUUAAGUUUGUAAGCAUUGUCAAUGGAAAUUCGUAACACAUUAAAUCUUUAUAUACCUUAGUAGUUGUUAAAGAGAGGUUUAGACAAGAGACUAAAUGCUUUAGAAGAUGGAAACAAAGACAUUCUAAAGGCCAUAUGCAACCUUCUUCGACAAGAGGCAUGUAACUCGCCAAAGAAUACAGGAGACCAUGUUCCCAUUUGUGAAAGCAAAAGCAAGUCGCCUAUGGAAAAAAUAGUUGAUUCACUGAGCGCAAAAUACCUUCAGAGGAACGCAGAAGCCAAAAUAUGAACGGGAUGUGUUGGAUGUGCGUCUUUGGCCAAUCUAAAAAAUAUCGAAACCAUUGUCAUCCUAGAAGAUGAAGAUGCUCAUGACCGAAAAGAAUGUUUGACUUUCAUGUCGGGCAAGUUCAUUCGUGACAAAAAAAGAGAGUCAUUAGACCACCAACACCAAACAACCUUUGGGAACCAGCCGACAAUAACACCACUUCUGAUGAAUUUUGUAAGGACAAACCUUUCACGAGCAACUACAACAUGGGGAUACAGUGCAAGCGGAAGCAGUGUGUGUUUAAGCCAACUGCCGACAUGAAAUUGUCGAUCGAGGAAGCAUGUGUGUGUGCAUAUUUAACACUCAAAGUGAGACACAAGUGACAAGGAGAUGUUUUUUCCGAUUGGAAACAAUUUUGGCACGAGAAGACAUUUUGAGAGUCUAUGUCCAAAUAAGACAAUAGCUGAUGAGGUUAAUCAUUAAUUCAUUACCUUUUAAGUAAAAGUCGACAUGAUGUCAUCAACCCAUCCACUUACUUUUCUGACCUGUGUAACACAUAUUUUUAGAUUUUUUUGUUUAUGGCUUUAAAAAUAACACACUCCCAGCUUCAUGGAACAAACAAGUAUGUUUGGUGUCUGCCUACACCUUUUGCAGUAUGCCUUUUCCAUCACAUUAGCUUCUUAUUAGAAAAUUUUAAUAUUGGUGAAUUACUCACACAUACAUCUUCUUUGUUGUGAUCUUGAUGGAACUUUAUUUUUCACCACUGAAUAGGCUGAUGUGUUAUCGGGAACCAGAGUCGACAAACUUGUAGACUAUUACGGGAAAGAUUUCAUGUUGUCAUAUGCAUGCCUAAAUCAUAUAUAUAUACCUAUUUAUGAAGAUACCAGUCAUUGGUAUCUGAUGGUUAUAUGCAUCAAUGACAAGAAAUUUUACCACUUAGAUUCAAACAUGACACUUGAAUUUGUGGAGGACAGAAGACAAGUAAUAAGAACUAAGGUAGGUGCAACCAUUAUAUACAAUUCAAUUUGGUUUCAUUACUUACAUCAACAUUUCAAAUUACAUUUAUUGAUUAAUGAACCAAUAAUUUUCAUGGCGAAUUCAGGGUAACAUCAUGUUGUGUGUAUUGACUACUUUUUUAGACACACUACACAUUAGUUGGGGAAUAAAGGAUAUGGAUCAUUGGGAGAUCCUACAACCAAGGGGAAUCCCAAAUUAUGGAUCUAGGUUAACAGUCUAUCCAAAAAUGAUUAAUAUUUUCUUGCACGCAUUGUUAUUUAAGGGGACAACACGAUAUGCUCUUUGGGUUUUUGAAAAAAUGUCAAACAUAUUGCAGCGACAAUUCAUGUUUAUGGAUGCUUGAGUGGAUGCAGAUGGAGGACUCUUUUGUUACCAUAUUGUACGGGUUGGUAAGACUUCGACAACUCAUUCGAAUAUCCAUCAUAAUAUUUGUGGUUAAUGAUGAAAUCAAUAAAUAACGCUCUUAUUGAAUAACAAAUUGAUGACAAAUAUGUUAGAAUGAAAGUUGCAAUGACAUUGCCACUUGGGGCACACAACGACAACAAAAGCAUACUUGUCACCGUUGCUCCAUUGAAUUGGGAUGAUUUCUUUCAGGGGAAUCGUUGAAAAUGAGUUCAUCAAUGUCAUUGGAUUUUAUGUAAAUCCAAAAUUGGUCAUGUUUUUUUGCUAUAAAAUUGCGGGAAUGCUUUAUUUCAAUAAUUAGAUGGGGUUGUAUAUUUUGGGGCAACACAUUAAAAUACCUUUAAUAUUGCUAUUCAUAUGCAAUAUUAAAACAUAUAUUUCUAUUGUUAGUUGUCCAAAUAUUUGGUUCGGGUAUUCCCCCUUGGUACUUCAGUUUAUAUUUUAUAAUUGUAUUACAACAACUAUGGAAUACUAUAUGUUGCCAUUGAUGGUUAAAAGAUUAAGGAUAUCUGGUGUUCAUCAAGUAA
RNA transcript from Glycine soja, 3387 nucleotides. RefSeq lists it as uncharacterized. The transcript is spliced from 5 exons. The record is from RefSeq and is a predicted model, not a curated record. Lineage: Eukaryota; Viridiplantae; Streptophyta; Magnoliopsida; Fabales; Fabaceae.